GACGAACCGUGCGAACGUUGUUCGGAAUCACUGGGCUUAAAGGGCGCGUAGGCGGUUUGCCAAGUCAGGGGUGAAAUCCUGCAGCUCAACUGUAGAAGUGCCUUUGAUACUGGCGAACUCGAGGGAGGUAGGGGUGCGCGGAACUUCUGGUGGAGCGGUGAAAUGCGUUGAUAUCAGAAGGAACGCCGGUGGCGAAAGCGGCGCACUGGACCUUUUCUAACGCUGAGGCGCGAAAGCUAGGGGAGCAAACGGG
This 253-nucleotide ribosomal RNA is filed under the name uncultured bacterium. RNAcentral's name for it is "partial 16S ribosomal RNA". It matches the Rfam family "Bacterial small subunit ribosomal RNA", at positions 524 to 776 of the family's 1533-position model. The record is from RNAcentral.